CGCCAGGAUAUUACGAGCUCAAGCUUAAAAUCCAAAGGACUUGACGGUGUUCCACCCAUCUAGAGGAGCCUGUUCUUUAAUCGAUACUCCCCGCUUUACCUCACCAUUUCUUGCUUCUUCAGCCUGUAUACCUCCGUCGCAAACUUGCCCUAUGAAUGACACACAGCAAGUUCAAUGGCCCCCGCCAAUACGUCAGGUCAAGGUGCAGCCCAUGAAAUGGGAAGCAAUGGGCUACAAUUUCUAACUUAGAACACACGAACUAUCACUUGAAACAGUGAUCAUGAAGGUGGAUUUAGUAGUAAAGAGAAAUUAUAGCGUUCUCUUUAAUUAGGCCCUGGAACGUGUACACACCGCCCGUCAC
This 361-nucleotide ribosomal RNA is filed under the name Boophis tephraeomystax. RNAcentral describes it as "partial 12S ribosomal RNA". It matches the Rfam family "Bacterial small subunit ribosomal RNA", at positions 870 to 1400 of the family's 1533-position model. The record is from RNAcentral. Lineage: Eukaryota; Metazoa; Chordata; Amphibia; Anura; Mantellidae.